AACAAAGCAUAUCCUCUAUUCAACCUGUACCUGGGGAAGUCAGUAUAUUUUUAAUGUAAACAAUUGGUGGUAGCUUGGUAAUAAAGACAUCAUAUCUUGCAAAGGAAAGCUCCCAGAAAACUCAGAAUGAAUCUUGAACAUUGGAGUAUUGGUACUUAGUGGGGCAGUACCUCCUGAAGAAGAACUGAGGAUUGACUGAACAGCUUCUGUACAAUGAAAGAGAGGAAGGCCACAUAGAGAAUGGCAAGAGAGUCAGAAACAAGGCUCCACCUUUCCUCCUUCAGAGGAGUAUACUGUUCUUGAAACAAUUGGAAACAGAACUCUCUAGCUGUUCGGAAGGAAACUUUCAGGUUUGACCCCUCGCACACCCUGACCCCAGGUGAAGACAGAGCCCACUGGAUAGUUGACCAAAGGAUGGGCUCUGAUCUAAGCCCUCUGAAGCAACUUUGGCUUCUGGAUAUAUGACCUCUUCAAUUAGGUUUCUUCAUGUUUUAUAUGGAUGGAGAGUUUUGGCUCAUUUCUCCACUUCUGCUUUUGCUCACUGUGAAAACACAUUAUAAAAUAUAAUCGUUUGAGAAUGAUUCUAACAAUUCUAACUGGUUAUUCUGUAAGAGAAAACUAAUACAAUUUUAAAGAACUUUAACUUUUGAAAGUGAAGUGAAUACCACAUGCUGCAAACGAGUGUAUUGAUUUAAUGGUCACACAUAAUCCUGUAAAAUUAGUCAUGAAACAGACACUAAUUUUAAAGAAUAGUGCUUCUAUUAAAAUACAUCUCAGCACAGCUGUAGGGCAAACAGAUUUGAUUCCCCCAGGGGGAAGCUGAGAGGUCUGUGUAGUCUCUGCCACUCUCUGAACUUACUAUGUGUGUUAGCGACAGUUUGAGUAUUUCAGGCCAUAGGACUUGGAUUCCUAAGCAAAUUCUCUACACACUCAGAGAAAUAAGUGAUAAAAAUUGCCCUUCUGUAUUUUUAGUUAACUUCCUUUAGAUCUCAUUGAGCCAAGAGUCAAAUCCACCAUGAGUAAAUGUGUUGAGCAUUGUCAGAGAGCUGUAUUAAUGUACAAAGGCCCACUUUAAAGGUCAUAAAGUAUUUCUCUCACAUAUGUGGUGAAUAGCAGUUUGGAAUUUCCUUGGCUCUGUUAUACUGUGUGCUGAGGUGGUGGUAAUGUUCAUCAGGGGUAGCCUGUCUUGGCUCAUUUGACUAAAUGAGAGGCUAAGAAUUGAAUUCUCUGCCAUAGCAGAGUCUUAUAGAUAAAUCAUGAAGUUUUCUCUAAUGAUGUUUGCAAAGGAUCAGUUUUAACAUUAGAAGCUAUAGCUACUAGUUUUAACUAUUCCAAAUGAACCAGGCUUGAACCCAGUGAAACUAUUACAAUUUCAUCCAAGACCUGUAGGACUAGAAUAUAAAAUCAAACCCAUUCCACUACCAGAUGUCAAUAGAUAGUGGGCAGAACUUUGAGGGCAGCUUUAGGUUUUAAAAUCUUAUUGGUAGGGGCACCUGGGUGGCUCAGUGGUUGAGUGUCUGCCUUUGGGUCAGGUCAUGAUCCCAGGGUCCUGGGAUCAAGUCCUACAUCAGGCUCCCCACAGGGAGUCUGCUUCUCCCUCUGCCUAUGUCUCUGCCUCUCUGUGUCUCUCAUGAAUAAAUAAGUAAAGUCUUAAAAAAAUCUUAUUGGUAAACUGUAGAAAUAGAAUAAAGCAGAAGAGGUCUGGUAAAGGCAUGAUCAUAGUAUUAAAUCUGUAGAGAAAACAAUUUGUACAAAGAUUGGAUAGGAAAUAACAGCUGGUAUACACUAUCAGCAGAAAACAAUUUGCACACUAUUUUCUGUUCUGUUGUUCCAUCAUUUCAUAAUUUAGCAUGCUUUCUGGUAAGCUUUCUUCAAAUGGAAAUCAAGCCAGAUGGUAGCCCAAACUUCUAAGGAAUCUGCUUACUUCCCCAUCUCUACCUUUGAAGCAAAGGUGGCUUUGAGGUAGGGGUGUGAGAAUCCAAAUACUGUAAAAGGACAGCUCACGGUGAAAGGUAGAGAAGUCUGAUGCUAUAGAAUCUCUCAUUAUGAAGCAACCUGGGGCCGUUUAGUGUAGGGGUAAAUGGCCUGAACUUCUAGUAGUCAUGAGGUUACAACUAUAUUAAAGCAUAGCACAAUAAUUAUUUCUACAAUGUUAACACAGAGUCAUCAUGGACAUAUGAAAUAGUGUUCAGUAAAAAUUAGGGAUUUUAAGAGAGUGAAUAUAUCUGUGUAGAACUUCUUAUUCUCUAAUAACACUGGAUAAAUUUUUUGGCUUUGCAGUCUAUUAUUACUAUUAUUUUUUCACAGAUAACCCUAAAGUAAACUUUAGGAUAGCUCUUACACAAAUAAUCUUAAAGUAGUAGGGACUAAAUUGAUAAUUUUGAAAACAAAAGUAGUUAGAUGGCUUGAGAUAUUUUAACUGUUUCCUAUCUUUAUCAGUUCCAUCUUUACAUGGCAGAUUUCUUUUAAAAAUUCAAAGUGUGCACAGAAAAUGAGAGACAAAUAUCUUCUUCUAUACUGUACUUAUACAUUGAAUUAAAAAAAGAGGUUAAAAAUGAUUCUCCUAGCUGGUUAAGUGAUUUCCAACUUCUGUCAUCUCUUUCAGAUGUGACAUUUUCCAAGGUUUUUUAGGUCUUGGCACUUCAUUUUGAAACAAGGAUUCAAAGCAAAAUAGAAAAAAAUGCCCCACUCUGCACUUUAGCAGAAUACUGUCUGUAUUCUCUAAAUAUUGAGUGAUCGUUAUCUAAUCUAGUGCAGAAUGCAUUUCAAAGUGGUAGGCAGUAAAGUAGUUAUUUUAAAGAUCCUGGUCUGUAUGAUCUGCUGUUGAAAGUAGUUCCUCACUGCAAGGAAAACCAAACAGCCAUACAUAUCCAUAAAUAAGCUGUAGCACCAUGGUAUCAUGUUUGAAUACAUCAAGGGACCAUUUGUGACGAUUCACAGUGGCAAUUCCAAAUAGUUCCUAGUAACUCUUGUGGUAUCUAUGCAAACAAUUUGUUAGAUUAGGACACAGUGUGUUAGUGACAUGGGCCAAGAGAAAUAGGGUGUGCAUUCUAACACAAGGAAGCCUUUUCUAGACCAUUACAAAGGGAGAACACUAUUUUUAUUUGGCUUCAGCACAAACUUCUCUUUAACAAAACAACCAAAAGAACUUCAAAUCCCAACUAAGUCAGAGCCAAAGAAAUAAAACCUCACUAGUGCCCCCAUAUUUUGGCUGUUCCCUUGGUCCAUCUUCAUAAUCCAGAUUUUAUUAUCAGAAUGAAAGCCUUACUUUGUUCCAAACCAAGGACUUGGACCCGUGUCCUGGGUCAAAAAUGCAGGUGAUUCCACCUACUGUCUUUCAUCUUGUUGAAAAUUGCUAAUGAAUACUGGUCUUUCUUGUCUUAUGAUGGCCUUACAUCCUAAUAAGCCCGUUGUAACUUGAAAAUAUUGUAAGUCAAAAAUGCAUUUAAUAUACCUAACCUACCAAGAAUCUUAGUUUAGCCCAGCCUCCCUUAAACAUGCUCAGAAUGUUUAGCAUACAGUUGGGCAAAAUCAUCUAACACAGAGACUAUUUUAUGAUAAAGUACUGAAAGUAUUGAAUACUUUUAACAAAGUAUUGAAUAUCAAUAAAGUAUUCAAUAGUAAAUGUAAUUUAUUGAGUACUGUAUUAAAAGUGAAAAACAGAAUGAUUAGGUGAGUACAGAAGGAUUGUGAAUUGGUUGUUUACGCUUGUGAUCAUGUGGCUGACUGGGAGCUGCAGCUUUCAGUUGCUGCCCAGCAUCAUGAGAGUAUAAUACUGCAUAUUGCUAGUGUGGGAAAAGAUCAAAAUGCAAAAUUCAAAGUAUGGUUUCUGCUGAAUGUGUAUCACUUUUACAGCUUCGUAAAGUAAAAAGUCAGAAUUCAAACCAUGUUAAAUAGGAAGACUGUCUGUAUUCUCUAAAUAUUGAGUGCUCAUUAUCUAAUCUAGUGCAGAAUGCAUUUUCAAAGUGGUAGAUUGUGAAAUACUGCUAAUAUGGCCCUUAUAAAAUAAACACUGGAGUAACAGAACUAGUUUUUUUUUCCCUUUAUGUUCUCUUAACAGGAACCAGUUCUUUAUGAGUAUUCAAUAAAUAUUAAGUAAUUAGGGUUAUAGCUAUGGAAGCACAGCCAAAGGCUGAGUGGAGUUUUCAAGGUUGUAAAACAUGUUAGCAAGGAAACCUGGGAUUGAAAUUAAGAGUUCUUAGCCUCUUCCUGGGGCUUGGGUCACUAUGUCCCUUUAUUUUCUUAAUCACAUAUACCCAUUGGGUUCCUUAGCAAGUCCUAAUCCAGUUCUCAGUUAGGCAAAACUUGGAAACCUCCAGGCAACGACCUGUUUUUCAAUGGGAGAACAUAUUUGCUUCCAGCUGGAACACAUCAAGACAAGCCAUUUCUCUUAUAGCUCCAUUCUUGCCAAAAGACUGGAAAAUAACUUAUUAGUGAGUCUAACCUAUCAAGAGCCACAACAACAGCUGCACUGAAUAUAGCACACACAAAAUGACGGGAUGCUGUGAAACUGGGAUGACUGAAACCAAUACAUGAUAAUUCCAGGCCUCACUUUGAUCUUUUCAACUGGAGGGCAAGUCAGAGGGAACCUUUAAUGCCUACACGAUCAGAUUGACUAAGUUUGUCUGUUUGUACAUUAUCCUUUUAACCUUUGUGUAUGUGCUACUUGAGACCAUAUUUAAAUUAAUAAUAUAGACUAACUCUUAUUUUUAGAACCUUUCUAUAGUUCACAUUUCAAAAUUCUUUUUUUUUUUUAAGAUUUUGUUUAUUUAUUCAUGAGAGACACAGAAAGAGAGAGAGAGAGAGAGAGAGAGGCAGAGACAUAGGCAGAGGGAGAAGCAAGGUCUCCGCAAGGAGCUCGAUGCAGGACUCGGAUUGUGCCCUGAGUAGAAGGCAGAUGCUCAACCACUGAGCCACCAGGUGCCCCCACAUUUCAAGAUUCUUAAUUAGGCCAAACAGCAUAUUGGGAAUAUAAAAUCAGUUUAAAAAUAUAUGUAUAUUAGUCAUGAAAUUCAAAUACUCUAUAAGAUCAAAGGAAACUAGGCUCAAAUAGUAUACUAUUUGUAAUAAGUAUUGCUAUCACACUACUGAAUGUUUGGUGAUUAAAUGAAUCAAGUAACUUAGAAAUUAUAACAUUUACCAAAUAUACAUAAGUGGUACAAUUUUCAUACGAUGAUAUUUGCUUUUCAGCCAGUUGGCAACAGCAUUUAUGGAAAAUCUUCUGUGUCUUGGACAAAAGUAAAGAGUGAAGAAGGAAAAAUCCCAAUCCUUUAGUCUGUCUUUUUUUUCUUUCUUUUUGAAAUAAUUGUUGCUUGUUUAACAAAAAGACUUAAAAGUAGAAAAUAAAUGCAAUCACCCAACUUAAGUGUUGCUAAGAUAUUAGUUCAAACUUUGGUAGUUUAGAAUAUUACCUUUUAUUAAAAUUUGAGUUUAUUUCUAAGGUGUACAAUCAUGCGAAGUGGUAUGCAUCUUCUUAACAGUGUGUUAGUGCCAUAUACACAGUCUGACAGUUGAGUAGACAUUUAGAAAUAUUCAUUAAAAGAUAAUGAUUUAGGGGUGCUGGGUGGCUCAGUCAAUUAAGCGCCUGACUUUUGAUUUCAGUUCAGGUCAUCUCAGAGUUGUGAGAUCAAGCCUUGAGUCAGACUUCAUGCUCAGUGUGGAGUCUGCUGGUCCCUGUCCCUCCUCUUGCUUGUGUGGGCUCUUUCUCUCAAAUAAAUAUAUAAAAUCUUUAAAAAUAUAUAUAAUGAUUUAUAUUUGUGUGGCAUAUAAGCACUAGUCCUAGAUGUAUUGUAUAACCAAACUAAUUAUAAUAGAAAUCAAUAAAAAGAAAUUAAAAUUCUGAAAUAAUUUUUGAUGGCCUAGUAAUGUAAGCAGUUUUGAUUUUGUUACUAAAAACAACAAAAAAGAAAUUAGCUGCAGUAAUAAUAAUAUAACAAAAUAAAUGAAUGCUAU
This is a long non-coding RNA of Canis lupus familiaris (dog), 5952 nucleotides long. RefSeq lists it as uncharacterized. NCBI's taxonomy places the organism in Eukaryota, Metazoa, Chordata, Mammalia, Carnivora, Canidae. The record is from RefSeq and is a predicted model, not a curated record. The transcript is spliced from 5 exons.